Molecule: long non-coding RNA, 654 nt
Filed under: Monodelphis domestica (gray short-tailed opossum)
Lineage: Eukaryota; Metazoa; Chordata; Mammalia; Didelphimorphia; Didelphidae
Description: lncRNA (ENSMODG00000042205.1)
Source: RNAcentral
ACAAUACUUUUUUGUUAAAAGCAUUAUUUUGCACAGAGAGGCAACAAUAUACUAAAUCUUUCUACCUAAGGAAGUUAACCUAGUUUUUUUCCCUUUAAAAAAGGUAUUGAAAGAAUCCUUGAGAGAUACUUGACUGAGAGGACUAAAGGCUCUAGCUCUGGCAUCACUUCCUGCUCAUCAUCACCUGAGUAUUAAAAGAAAAAACAAAAACAAAACAAAAACAAAACUCCAGGCACUUUUCAUUGCUUGGGUGAUAGACCAUCAUGAGCAAUUUAGAGUCAAAAGUGACUGAAUUUACCUAGUGUGUCUGAUGUAUAUCAUUGUUGAAUAUCAUUCUCAUGGAAUGGCUAAGUAAAUCUUUUAUUAAAUGUUAAGUGACAAAUUGUCUCCUUUCAUUACAAUAUCAGACAUAGACUCUCAGGGUACUGGCCUGAAUUAAGAGUAACCCAGAACAUUAAGGAAGCCAAAACCUACUCUAAGAAGCAGAAGGACCUACCCCCGCCGAAAUCAGCUUUGUUCUAAAUCCAGACUGGUUUUGAAUGACUAGUGGAACUACUUGGAAAGGAAAAGGGACCUGGAUGAAGAAAUGCCAGGGCCAAUUAAUUGACACUGCUGCAAGCUUUUCAUGACUCUAUAUCAGCUACAUAAUGGCAG